This 530-nucleotide small RNA is filed under the name Pongo abelii (Sumatran orangutan). RNAcentral's name for it is "sense intronic". Lineage: Eukaryota; Metazoa; Chordata; Mammalia; Primates; Hominidae. The record is from RNAcentral.
GAUUGUGUCUUCUGAAAUACAGAGUUUCAACCCCUCAUUUUAUUUCCAAACAAUCACUUUUAUGUUACUCUCUAGAGAAUGAGGAGGGUCGGAUCUCAGAUCAUGGGGCAUGCUAUAGCUGAGAAUGGAAAAAGGGGAGCAGAAUUACUUAAAGACUUCAUCUCUUCAAUGCAGAGGAUAGUAAUUGAUAUUACUUAUCAAAGUAUCUCUUUUCUAGCUAUGCAACAUGAAGUUUCAAGCAAUUUAUUAUUGUCAUUGAUGUCUCAAUUGUGUACAUAAUCCCCUUUUCCUGUCAUUUAUGAUACUAAAAUAUAUGUUAGUAAAAUAUAGUACAUAUUUUAGGUUUUUAUCGUAUUGUUUUCAUGGCUAAGAGGUUUAACAAUUUCAUCUUUUAUUAUAAAUGUUAGGUUUAUAUGAAAAUAGUGAAUAAUCAGUAAAUAAUCUAGCUUCUUUUUCUAAUUGCAGUGUUUUUCUUAAUAUAACAAUGUACUGAAAGCUUUGUUGAUUAAAAGUGGAAUGUAGCACAUUCA